ACGCUCAGCCACGGGUGCCCACCGCUGUGGGCUGAGAUUCCUGCGAACGAAGACGCAGGGGAACCGUUGAACCUGAUCCGGGUAAUUCCGGCGCUAGGAAGGAAAGUAAAUACCGUG
RNAcentral lists this non-coding RNA (117 nucleotides) under Corynebacterium uterequi. RNAcentral's name for it is "TPP sequence". It matches the Rfam family "TPP riboswitch aptamer (THI element)". Rfam says of the family: Vitamin B(1) in its active form thiamin pyrophosphate (TPP) is an essential coenzyme that is synthesised by coupling of pyrimidine and thiazole moieties in bacteria. The previously detected thiamin-regulatory element, thi box was extended, resulting in a new, highly conserved RNA secondary structure, the THI element, which is widely distributed in eubacteria and also occurs in some archaea. Lineage: Bacteria; Bacillati; Actinomycetota; Actinomycetes; Mycobacteriales; Corynebacteriaceae. The record is from Rfam by way of RNAcentral.